AUUAGUGGGGGACAACAUUCCGAAAGGAAUGCUAAUACCGCAUACGUCCUACGGGAGAAAGCAGGGGACCUUCGGGCCUUGCGCUAAUAGAUGAGCCUAAGUCGGAUUAGCUAGUUGGUGGGGUAAAGGCCUACCAAGGCGACGAUCUGUAGCGGGUCUGAGAGGAUGAUCCGCCACACUGGGACUGAGACACGGCCCAGACUCCUACGGGAGGCAGCAGUGGGGAAUAUUGGACAAUGGGGGGAACCCUGAUCCAGCCAUGCCGCGUGUGUGAAGAAGGCCUUAUGGUUGUAAAGCACUUUAAGCGAGGAGGAGGCUACUAGUAUUAAUACUACUGGAUAGUGGACGUUACUCGCAGAAUAAGCACCGGCUAACUCUGUGCCAGCAGCCGCGGUAAUACAGAGGGUGCGAGCGUUAAUCGGAUUUACUGGGCGUAAAGCGUGCGUAGGCGGCCAUUUAAGUCAAAUGUGAAAUCCCCGAGCUUAACUUGGGAAUUGCAUUCGAUACUGGAUGGCUAGAGUAUGGGAGAGGAUGGUAGAAUU
Molecule: ribosomal RNA, 542 nt
Filed under: Acinetobacter sp. EPR174
Lineage: Bacteria; Pseudomonadati; Pseudomonadota; Gammaproteobacteria; Moraxellales; Moraxellaceae
Description: bacterial SSU rRNA
Rfam family: Bacterial small subunit ribosomal RNA
Source: RNAcentral